RNAcentral lists this ribosomal RNA (455 nucleotides) under uncultured Streptococcus sp. Its description in RNAcentral is "bacterial SSU rRNA". It matches the Rfam family "Bacterial small subunit ribosomal RNA", at positions 924 to 1382 of the family's 1533-position model. Lineage: Bacteria; Bacillati; Bacillota; Bacilli; Lactobacillales; Streptococcaceae. The record is from RNAcentral.
CACAAGCGGUGGAGCAUGUGGUUAAUUCGAAGCAACGCGAAGAACCUUACCAGGUCUUGACAUCCCGAUGCUAUUUCUAGAGAUAGAAAGUUACUUCGGUACAUCGGUGACAGGUGGUGCAUGGUUGUCGUCAGCUCGUGUCGUGAGAUGUUGGGUUAAGUCCCGCAACGAGCGCAACCCCUAUUGUUAGUUGCCAUCAUUCAGUUGGGCACUCUAGCGAGACUGCCGGUAAUAAACCGGAGGAAGUGGGGAUGACGUCAAAUCAUCAUGCCCCUUAUGACCUGGGCUACACACGUGCUACAAUGGUUGGUACAACGAGUUGCGAGUCGGUGACGGCGAGCUAAUCUCUUAAAGCCAAUCUCAGUUCGGAUUGUAGGCUGCAACUCGCCUACAUGAAGUCGGAAUCGCUGGUAAUCGCGGAUCAGCACGCCGCGGUGAAUACGUUCCCGGGCCUU